GUGUGCCUUGAGGCGUGGCUUCCGGAGCUAACGCGUUAAGUCGACCGCCUGGGGAGUACGGCCGCAAGGUUAAAACUCAAAUGAAUUGACGGGGGCCCGCACAAGCGGUGGAGCAUGUGGUUUAAUUCGAUGCAACGCGAAGAACCUUACCUACUCUUGACAUCCAGAGAAUUCGCUAGAGAUAGCUUAGUGCCUUCGGGAACUCUGAGACAGGUGCUGCAUGGCUGUCGUCAGCUCGUGUUGUGAAAUGUUGGGUUAAGUCCCGCAACGAGCGCAACCCUUAUCCUUUGUUGCCAGCACGUAAUGGUGGGAACUCAAAGGAGACUGCCGGUGAUAAACCGGAGGAAGGUGGGGAUGACGUCAAGUCAUCAUGGCCCUUACGAGUAGGGCUACACACGUGCUACAAUGGCGUAUACAAAGAGAAGCGAACUCGCGAGAGCCAGCGGACCUCAUAAAGUACGUCGUAGUCCGGAUCGGAGUCUGCAACUCGACUCCGUGAAGUCGGAAUCGCUAGUAAUCGUAGAUCAGAAUGCUACGGUGAAUACGUUCCCGGGCCUUGCACCCCCGGCCCGUCAAAA
RNAcentral lists this ribosomal RNA (578 nucleotides) under Enterobacterales bacterium. Its description in RNAcentral is "bacterial SSU rRNA". It matches the Rfam family "Bacterial small subunit ribosomal RNA", at positions 824 to 1402 of the family's 1533-position model. Lineage: Bacteria; Pseudomonadati; Pseudomonadota; Gammaproteobacteria; Enterobacterales. The record is from RNAcentral.